UUAAAGUUUUAUUCUUGCUUGUUGUGUUUACUUUUAAUAUUAUUUUAUAUGUAAGUUUUUGCGUAAUUAUACUUUUUGUUCUAGAUGAAUUUAUUGAUUUAUAUUAUUUCGCAGUAUUAAAUACUAUUUAUUAAUGUGAAUUAGAUUUGGUAAUUUUUAUUUAUAUUGGUAAAAUUUGUGCCAGCAUCCGCGGUUAUACAAUGAAUGUGAGUAAACAUUUUUGGUUAAAACAGUUAAAGUUAUUUUUGGGGUUAUUUUAUUAUUUUUAGGUGAAAUUUUAAUAUUUUAAGAAACUUUUCUUUUUGAGGCUGUGAGAUUUUAGUUAAAUUAAACUAGGAUUAGAUACCCUAUUAUUUUAAAUGUAAAUUAAUUUAAUCUAGGUAGUAUUAGUUAUAAUCUUGAAACCUAAAGAAUUUGGCGGUAUUUUAGUCUAUUUAGAGGAAUCUGUCUCGUAAUCGAUAAUCCACGUUGUACCUUACCAUAAUUUAAUGUAUGUAUACCGUCGUUAUAAUGAGAAUCUUAUGAGGGAUAUUAAUUUUCUGGAUUAUUUUAUUUAUAAAUAUUUCAGAUCAAGGUGCAGUUUAUAAUUUGGUGAAGAUGGAUUACAUUUAUAUUUAUUAUUGGAUAUAAUAUUGAAAUUUAUUUAUGAAAUUGGAUUUAAUUGUAAUUAUUUAUAUAUUAUAAUAAUGAAAUUAGCUCUAUAAUAUGUACACAUCGCCCGUCGCUCUCGUUAUUAAUUUGAGAUAAGUCGUAACAUAGUGGUUGUACCGGAAGGUGUAACUAGAAUGAA
Molecule: non-coding RNA, 790 nt
Filed under: Eurycotis sp. B074
Lineage: Eukaryota; Metazoa; Arthropoda; Insecta; Blattodea; Blattidae
Description: 12S ribosomal RNA
Rfam family: Microsporidia small subunit ribosomal RNA (bases 379-783)
Source: RNAcentral